UACGAAGGGGGCUAGCGUUGCUCGGAAUUACUGGGCGUAAAGCGCACGUAGGCGGCUCUUUAAGUCGGUGGUGAAAUCCUGGAGCUCAACUCCAGAACUGCCUUCGAUACUGGAGAGCUUGAGUCCGGGAGAGGUGAGUGGAACUGCGAGUGUAGAGGUGAAAUUCGUAGAUAUUCGCAAGAACACCAGUGGCGAAGGCGGCUCACUGGCCCGGUACUGACGCUGAGGUGCGAAAGCGUGGGGAGCAA
Molecule: ribosomal RNA, 248 nt
Filed under: uncultured bacterium
Lineage: Bacteria
Description: partial 16S ribosomal RNA
Rfam family: Bacterial small subunit ribosomal RNA
Source: RNAcentral